RNAcentral lists this long non-coding RNA (922 nucleotides) under Papio anubis (olive baboon). Its description in RNAcentral is "lncRNA (ENSPANG00000049152.1)". The record is from RNAcentral. Lineage: Eukaryota; Metazoa; Chordata; Mammalia; Primates; Cercopithecidae.
CCUAUCUAAACGUUAAUUUAAAAAUUACUUUCUGAUUUUUUAUUGCUAGUAUACAAGUAUACAAUUGAUUCUUGUAUUUUGAGUUUAUAUCCUUUAAUGUUUCUAAGCUCAGGUAUUACUUAUCAUAGUAUUUUUUGUAGAUUCUUUGAAUUGUCUUUCACAGACCACCAUGUUAAGGCAAACAGAGACAGUUUUAUUUUUUCUUUCUCAAUCUGUAUGUAAUUGUUUUCUAUUCCUUACUUUAUUGCCCUGGAUUAGACCUUCAGGAGAACACUGAAUAACAAUAGUGAGAUUGGGCAUCCUUGCCAUUUUCCUUUUUCUUUUUUUCCCCUCCUGAGACGGAUUCUUGCUCUGUCGCCCAGGCUGGAGUGGAGUGGCGAGAUCUCGGCUCACUGCAACCUCCGUCGCCCAGUUCAAGCAAUUCUCCUGCCUCAGCCUCCCGAGUAGCUGGGAUUGCAGCCCUUACUGCCCUCCCUUGUUCAUCCCUUCUGAGUCUCCAGUGUCCAUUAUACCACUCUGUACAACUGUGUGUAUGCAUGGCUUCGCUCCCACUUGUAAGACCAUACAUGCUCAGAUUUUGAACUUCUGCAGGAAAAAAACUUGAAUUACAGAAAACUGCUACCCUGUAUCAACACCUUCACCAACUAAAGUUAACCUGAUGAUCUAAUCAUAUAUAUGAAGAGAUAAUUGUCUCUUUGAUAGUCAUGUCAAUUUUGUCUUUUUUUUGUGGCUGCCAUUUUAUUUUUUAUUCUCAUUAGAAAAAAUAUGACAUGUUUUGAUUAAAAUAAGCAUAUUAUUAAGUGGAAGAAAUGUUUGUUUUAAAGCAACCAUCAUUAUAUUAAAUUUAACCUGGGACAUAUGCUAAAAAUGGAAGCUGGUGUCAUAAUGUGCUUCUGGUCCUCUGGGAAACUUAACUCGACAG